GACAGGUAGAAAGGAUGAAUAGAACAAUC
This 29-nucleotide non-coding RNA is filed under the name Cricetulus griseus (Chinese hamster). The record is from RNAcentral. Lineage: Eukaryota; Metazoa; Chordata; Mammalia; Rodentia; Cricetidae.